This 253-nucleotide ribosomal RNA is filed under the name uncultured bacterium. RNAcentral describes it as "partial 16S ribosomal RNA". It matches the Rfam family "Bacterial small subunit ribosomal RNA", at positions 524 to 776 of the family's 1533-position model. The record is from RNAcentral.
UACGGAGGGGGCCAGCGUUGUUCGGAAUCAUUGGGCGUAAAGGGCGCGUAGGCGGCUUUGUAAGUCCGUUGUGAAAUCCCUCGGCUCAACCGAGGAACUGCGACGGAUACUGCUCGGCUUGAGUCCCGGAGAGGGUAGCGGAAUUCCCAGUGUAGCGGUGAAAUGCGUAGAUAUUGGGAGGAACAUCGGUGGCGAAGGCGGCUACCUGGACGGGUACUGACGCUGAUGCGCGAAAGCGUGGGGAGCGAACAGG